Molecule: long non-coding RNA, 363 nt
Filed under: Mytilus galloprovincialis (Mediterranean mussel)
Lineage: Eukaryota; Metazoa; Mollusca; Bivalvia; Mytilida; Mytilidae
Source: RNAcentral
UGGUUGUCGUCUCAUUCCCUUUAUAGAGUGUUGCUGCUCACAGGAAGCUUUUCCUAGAGUUCAAAGUGGAGAAGUUGAAAUCAUCCUUUCAAUAAUAGUAUGUGUUAUGUGUGGCUUAUUGAACAGACAUGUUCAGUUUCAGAUCUAGUUUAAUUAUAACUACAUAAUGACGUAUACAUAUAUGAAACAGAGGCUGUAACCGAGUAUAAAUAGAAUACAGAUUUAGCACACGUGACAUCUCCCCUUAUCAGAAAAUGAAAGUAGCAGAUUAAAAUAAAGAGAAGUAUGCAAAUGAGAAAUUAACGAAAUUAAUUAAUUUAAAUGAAUCAUUAAAAUAUAUCGAAAGAGUUUCAAAAUAAAAUU